RNAcentral lists this ribosomal RNA (456 nucleotides) under Hydroglyphus flavoguttatus. RNAcentral describes it as "partial 16S ribosomal RNA". Lineage: Eukaryota; Metazoa; Arthropoda; Insecta; Coleoptera; Dytiscidae. The record is from RNAcentral.
AACAAAAACAUGUCCUUUAGAAUAGAAUUUAAGGUCUAACCUGCCCAUUGAGGAAUUUAACGGCCGCAGUAUUUUGACUGUGCAAAGGUAGCAUAAUCAUUAGUUUUUUAAUUGAAAGCUUGUAUGAAUGGUUGGACGAGAUAUAAACUGUCUUUAAAUUAAAAUUAGAAUUUAAUUUUUAAGUUAAAAAGCUUAAAUAUUAUUAAAAGACGAGAAGACCCUAUAAAUCUUUAUAAAUUUAUUUAAAUAAUUUUUUAGGAUUUUUAAUUUUUAUAUAAAUAGAUUUAUUUUAUUGGGGUAAUAAAAAGAUUUAAAUAAUUCUUUUAAAUAAUUACAUUGAUUAGUGUUUUUAAAUGAUCCUAUAUUAUAGAUUAUAAGAUUAAGUUACUUUAGGGAUAACAGCGUAAUUUUUUUAGAGAGUUCUUAUCGAUAAAAAAGUUUGCGACCUCGAUGUUG